CCUACGGGCGGCAGCAGUGAGGAAUAUUGGUCAAUGGACGAGAGUCUGAACCAGCCAAGUAGCGUGAAGGAUGACUGCCCUAUGGGUUGUAAACUUCUUUUAUAUGGGAAUAAAAUGUUCCACGUGUGGGAUUUUGUAUGUACCAUAUGAAUAAGGAUCGGCUAACUCCGUGCCAGCAGCCGCGGUAAUACGGAGGAUCCGAGCGUUAUCCGGAUUUAUUGGGUUUAAAGGGAGCGUAGGUGGAUUGUUAAGUCAGUUGUGAAAGUUUGCGGCGCAACCGUAAAAUUGAAGUUGAAACUGGCAGUCUUGAGUACAGUAGAGGUGGGCGGAAUUCGUGGUGUAGCGGUGAAAUGCUUAGAUAUCACGAAGAACUCCGAUUGCGAAGGCAGUUCACUGGACUGCAACUGACACUGAGGCUCGAAAGUGUGGGUAUCAAACAGGAUUAGAUACCCUUGUAGUC
Molecule: ribosomal RNA, 460 nt
Filed under: uncultured bacterium
Lineage: Bacteria
Description: partial 16S ribosomal RNA
Rfam family: Bacterial small subunit ribosomal RNA
Source: RNAcentral